AGUGAACGCUGGCGAUAGGCCUAACACAUGCAAGUCGAACGGCAGCACAGUAAGAGCUUGCUCUUACGGGUGGCGAGUGGCGGACGGGUGAGGAAUACAUCGGAAUCUACUUUUUCGUGGGGGAUAACGUAGGGAAACUUACGCUAAUACCGCAUACGACCUACGGGUGAAAGCAGGGGAUCUUCGGACCUUGCGCGAUUGAAUGAGCCGAUGUCGGAUUAGCUAGUUGGCGGGGUAAAGGCCCACCAAGGCGACGAUCCGUAGCUGGUCUGAGAGGAUGAUCAGCCACACUGGAACUGAGACACGGUCCAGACUCCUACGGGAGGCAGCAGUGGGGAAUAUUGGACAAUGGGCGCAAGCCUGAUCCAGCCAUACCGCGUGGGUGUAGAAGGCCUUCGGGUUGUAAAGCCCUUUUGUUGGGAAAGAAAAGCAGCAGGUUAAUACCCCGCUGUUCUGACGGUACCCAAAGAAUAAGCACCGGCUAACUUCGUG
RNAcentral lists this ribosomal RNA (492 nucleotides) under uncultured bacterium. RNAcentral's name for it is "partial 16S ribosomal RNA". It matches the Rfam family "Bacterial small subunit ribosomal RNA", at positions 29 to 507 of the family's 1533-position model. The record is from RNAcentral.